UUUUUAUCAUAAUUGAACUGAAAUCAUAUAUACCUUUGCUUGUAACUAUUUCAACACAUAAGUAUUAAAGCAGGCUACUUAACUUUUAGCAAAAGCGGCGCCAGGAAAUUGAACAAAAACUUGAAGUUCAGGCAGAAGAAGAGAGAAAGCAGGUUGAAAAUGAAAGGAGAGAACUGUUUGAAGAGAGGCGUGCUAAACAGACAGAACUGCGGCUUUUGGAACAGAAAGUUGAGCUUGCGCAGCUGGUGAGUGGUAAUUUGGAGUUCUAAGAUUGGUAAUCCUUUGAGUUUACAAAAGCACUGACCUUUUACCUUUUCUUUAGCAAGAAGAAUGGAAUGAACAUAAUGCCAAAAUAAUUAAAUAUAUAAGAACUAAGACAAAGCCCCAUUUGUUUUAUAUUCCUGGAAGAAUGUGUCCAGCUACCCAAAAACUAAUAGAAGAGUCACAGAGAAAAAUGAACGCUUUAUUUGAAGGUAGACGCAUCGAAUUUGCAGAACAAAUAAAUAAAAUGGAGGCUAGGCCUAGAAGACAAUCAAUGAAGGAAAAAGAGCAUCAGGUGGUGCGUAAUGAAGAACAGAAGGCGGAACAAGAAGAGGGUAAGGUGGCUCAGCGAGAGGAAGAGUUGGAGGAGACAGGUAAUCAGCACAAUGAUGUAGAAAU
RNAcentral lists this small RNA (660 nucleotides) under Pan troglodytes (chimpanzee). Its description in RNAcentral is "retained intron". Lineage: Eukaryota; Metazoa; Chordata; Mammalia; Primates; Hominidae. The record is from RNAcentral.